UGCGCAGGUGGGCUUGUAAGUCAGUGGUGAAAUACUGCCGCUUAACGGUAGAACUGCCAUUGAUACUGCGAGUCUUGAGUAUGGUUGAGGUAGGCGGAAUGUGUUGUGUAGCGGUGAAAUGCAUAGAUAUGACACAGAACGCCGAUUGCGAAGGCAGCUUACUAAGCCAUUACUGACGCUGAGGCACGAAAGCGUGGGGAGCAAACAGGAUUAGAUACCCUGGUAGUCC
RNAcentral lists this ribosomal RNA (229 nucleotides) under uncultured bacterium. Its description in RNAcentral is "partial 16S ribosomal RNA". It matches the Rfam family "Bacterial small subunit ribosomal RNA", at positions 568 to 796 of the family's 1533-position model. The record is from RNAcentral.